RNAcentral lists this long non-coding RNA (2122 nucleotides) under Homo sapiens (human). RNAcentral's name for it is "long non-coding RNA NONHSAT209874.1". The record is from RNAcentral. Lineage: Eukaryota; Metazoa; Chordata; Mammalia; Primates; Hominidae.
UGGUGGAAAAGUCUCAGAAAGCCACUGCCCCAAACAAGCCACCUGCAUUAUCAAACACAGAGAAGAGGAAUCAUUCCGCCUUUUGGGGACCAGAGAGUCAAAUCAUUCCUGUGAUGCCAGAUAGUAGUUCCUCAGGGAAGAACAGAAAAGAGGAAAGUUAUAUAUUUGAGUCAAAGGGUGAUGGAGGAGGAGGGGAACACCCAGCCCCAGAAACAGGUGCAGUGCUACCCCUGGCGCUGGGUUUGGCUAUCACUGCUCUGCUGCUUCUCAUGGUUGCAUGCCGACUACGACUGGUGAAACAGAAACUGAAAAAAGCUCGUCCCAUUACAUCUGAGGAAUCGGACUACCUCAUAAAUGGGAUGUAUCUAUAGUAAUGUAAUUUCAAUACCUUGGGGCAGGGACAUGUUUUGUUUAUAAUUUAUACAUCUAUUAAGUUCUGGAUAUUUACAGCUUCUUUUGUUUUUAAUUGGGCCAGAAGAUUCUGCAAAUCCCAAAUCUUUCUUUAUUAUUUAUUGUAAAAAAAGUUUCCUUAGAAGUCAUAAAAUAUUUUGAAAUUUAGAGAGGAAUUCAUGAUUAAAGAUUCCUAAAAAUAUAAUUCUGAUUUAUGUAAGCUGUCCCUGAAAAUAGAAAUGUGUACUUAGCUGAGAGAAAAUUCAGCAUCUCAGGAGGUGGUAUUAGGAUGACUGUGUUAACCCAUUACCUUUUAGAAGCCAACUGUUGGCCCCUUACCAUGCUGGACUGCUAUAGGCCCAGCUUCCCCUUGUUCUGUGGCCCUUUUCUUCCUCCUUGAAGCUCCCAGUAUUCUUUUUCUUUUCCCCUCUAAACCUGUUUCUGAGAGUGGAUCUCAAGCAAGUUCAUGCCUUCAAUCAGAUGUUACUUAGGGUGGGUAUACCUAAAUUAUAAACCUUAUGUACAAGUCAGUAAGCCUUAGGGAAGGUGAGUGUGGGUCCUUCCUAAUCCCUCUGACGUCAUGUCAUAUAGGUGGCUGCCUCCUUAGACUGACCUUUGGGAGAAAAAAACCCCAGACUUUGAAUUAGUAACAGCUCUAAGAUGGUCAUGCAGUGAGAUAGGAAAUCAAGAUGGAAGCAGAGAAUCUGGCAUGCCAAAAACUAACAGAAACUUAGUUGAAGGCAAAGAGAGCAAGGAGAACGUUUAAUACUUCAUUACAUCAAAUCAACACUGCUCCAUGGUGAGAGCACAGCAACUCAUUUAUAUAUAUAUAUAUAGGCUUUGUUGAUGAAAAACGACAAUUGAAGAGAGGACGUUGAGUGGAUUCCUGGGUACAGCUUUUGUAAAAAUGUCACCAUGGCUUUCAUCCAAUGGAAUGAGUCGAUGUUUUUUAAUGCUAUAAAAUGUUAGAAUGUGCCAUCAGCUAAUGCCAGGCUUACGUAUUUCUAGACCAUAAAGCAGUUUUUCACAAAUUCAUCUUUACAGAAAACCAGCAUCUAGCUUAGCAUCUUUCCCCUUUUAAUUUGUAGGCUUUUAAAGGCAAAUCAUUCCCACCAUCACUUAACGCCGGGAUUAUACACAUUCUAGAAAUGAUUCUGAGAGGAGUGUAUAGUAUGGUGCCUAUCUACACUCACAUGAUAUUCUUAUUCACGUUUUUUUUAACCAUAAGUGGCAAAUAUUUUAAAAUAUUUGAAAAACACUCCAGAAUCUAGUACGCUUUAUUUUUAGACUGAACCUAAAGUAGGUUGUUCUUUUAACAAAGGGUUUAAUUCGGGUGGGGAAUAUAACAUAUCAAAAUACAUGAACAAAUGGAAAGUUACUUCUAGAAAAGCAAAGAAAUUGGGUAUCAUUUUUGUUUCUUGGGAAGCUAAUUUUGUUGAAUGUUUAGAAUUGAGCAAAGAUGUAAAUUUUUGAAGGGCAGUUUAGAAAAAUUAACUUUGUGAAUGAACUUAAGAUGUCUGUACUCUAUAUGUGAUGCUGUGCAGUUUGUUUUUAUAUGGAAAGAUGUCAACUAUAGCCAUAACCAAUAAAAUAAAAACUGAUGAGGCAUGCAGCUUUCAGCACAUCUUUUAUACAUGAAGAAAUUAAUUUUGUGUUGCUAUGGUGUUGAAAUAUCCAAGAUGUUCUGUAUCUAUGUAAACAUGAUUCCUUUAAUAAAUUGUAUUUUAUUAUU